CAUCAGGUGACACAAGUGGAUUCCCAGUGA
Molecule: non-coding RNA, 30 nt
Filed under: Rattus norvegicus (Norway rat)
Lineage: Eukaryota; Metazoa; Chordata; Mammalia; Rodentia; Muridae
Source: RNAcentral